CCUCAUCACCAGCAAAGCGUGGUGGUACACACCUAUAAUCUCAACCUUUUGAGGGCUGACAGUAGACUCACAAGCUCAACACCAGCCAGGGCUGCAAAAUGAGAUUCUGCCACCACCUGCAUCCCCUUUUCCAACCCUUCCAGCCAAGUCAAACAAA
This is a long non-coding RNA of Perognathus longimembris pacificus (Pacific pocket mouse), 157 nucleotides long. RefSeq lists it as uncharacterized. The transcript has 3 exons. The record is from RefSeq and is a predicted model, not a curated record. NCBI's taxonomy places the organism in Eukaryota, Metazoa, Chordata, Mammalia, Rodentia, Heteromyidae.